AGAACGAACGCUGGCGGCAUGCCUAACACAUGCAAGUCGAACGAGACCUUCGGGUCUAGUGGCGCACGGGUGCGUAACGCGUGGGAAUCUGCCCUUAGGUACGGAAUAACAGUGAGAAAUUACUGCUAAUACCGUAUGAUGUCUUCGGACCAAAGAUUUAUCGCCUAGGGAUGAGCCCGCGUUGGAUUAGCUAGUUGGUGGGGUAAAAGCCUACCAAGGCGACGAUCCAUAGCUGGUCUGAGAGGAUGAUCAGCCACACUGGGACUGAGACACGGCCCAGACUCCUACGGGAGGCAGCAGUGGGGAAUAUUGGACAAUGGGCGAAAGCCUGAUCCAGCAAUGCCGCGUGAGUGAAGAAGGCCUUCGGGUUGUAAAGCUCUUUUACCCGGGAAGAUAAUGACUGUACCGGGAGAAUAAGCCCCGGCUAACUCCGUGCCAGCAGCCGC
This 446-nucleotide ribosomal RNA is filed under the name uncultured bacterium. RNAcentral's name for it is "SSU rRNA". It matches the Rfam family "Bacterial small subunit ribosomal RNA", at positions 26 to 518 of the family's 1533-position model. The record is from RNAcentral.